GUUUAAAGAGAAUCGUAUAACUAGCGAAUAUUUGAGGGAGCACUGUAGAAAACACGAUCUUUACAUGACUCCCAGAUUCAACACGGUCCUCUAUCUGCAUAAUAAGGGGUUCCAUGAGAUAGAAAACCUGGAUGAAUAUGUUGGACUGAAAUGUUUGUGGCUUGAAAACAAUUGUAUAACAGUAAUUAAGGGACUCGAGCACUUGGUUCGGAUAAAAUGCCUCUUUCUACACGAUAACAGG
Molecule: long non-coding RNA, 241 nt
Organism: Eurytemora carolleeae
Lineage: Eukaryota; Metazoa; Arthropoda; Copepoda; Calanoida; Temoridae
Exons: 3
Source: RefSeq, a predicted model, not a curated record